CCUACGGGGGGCAGCAGUGGGGAAUAUUGGGCAAUGGGCGCAAGCCUGACCCAGCAACGCCGCGUGAAGGAAGAAGGCUUUCGGGUUGUAAACUUCUUUUAUCAGGGACGAAGCAAGUGACGGUACCUGAUGAAUAAGCCACGGCUAACUACGUGCCAGCAGCCGCGGUAAUACGUAGGUGGCAAGCGUUAUCCGGAUUUACUGGGGGUAAAGGGCGUGUAGGCGGGAAAGCAAGUCAGAUGUGAAAACCAUGGGCUCAACCUGUGGCCUGCAUUUGAAACUGUUUUUCUUGAGUACUGGAGAGGCAGACGGAAUUCCUAGUGUAGCGGGGAAAUGCGUAGAUAUUAGGAGGAACACCAGUGGCGAAGGCGGUCUGCUGGACAGCAACUGACGCUGAGGCGCGAAAGCGUGGGGAGCAAACAGGAUUAGAUACCCGGGUAGUC
This 443-nucleotide ribosomal RNA is filed under the name uncultured bacterium. RNAcentral describes it as "partial 16S ribosomal RNA". It matches the Rfam family "Bacterial small subunit ribosomal RNA", at positions 338 to 795 of the family's 1533-position model. The record is from RNAcentral.